CUGAUGUUAGCGGCGGACGGGUGAGUAACACGUGGGUAACCUACCUAUAAGACUGGGAUAACUCCGGGAAACCGGGGCUAAUACCGGAUAAUAUUUUGAACCGCAUGGUUCAAUAGUGAAAGACGGUUUCGGCUGUCACUUAUAGAUGGACCCGCGCCGUAUUAGCUAGUUGGUAAGGUAACGGCUUACCAAGGCGACGAUACGUAGCCGACCUGAGAGGGUGAUCGGCCACACUGGAACUGAGACACGGUCCAGACUCCUACGGGAGGCAGCAGCU
Molecule: ribosomal RNA, 277 nt
Filed under: uncultured Staphylococcus sp.
Lineage: Bacteria; Bacillati; Bacillota; Bacilli; Caryophanales; Staphylococcaceae
Description: partial 16S ribosomal RNA
Rfam family: Bacterial small subunit ribosomal RNA
Source: RNAcentral